RNAcentral lists this ribosomal RNA (834 nucleotides) under Phaeosphaeria lunariae. RNAcentral's name for it is "eukaryotic LSU rRNA". It matches the Rfam family "Eukaryotic large subunit ribosomal RNA", at positions 70 to 923 of the family's 3401-position model. Lineage: Eukaryota; Fungi; Ascomycota; Dothideomycetes; Pleosporales; Phaeosphaeriaceae. The record is from RNAcentral.
GGGGAUUGCCCUAGUAACGGCGAGUGAAGCGGCAACAGCUCAAAUUUGAAAUCUGGCUCUUUCAGAGUCCGAGUUGUAAUUUGCAGAGGGCGCUUUGGCGUUGGCAGCGGUCCAAGUUCUUUGGAACAGGACGUCACAGAGGGUGAGAAUCCCGUACGUGGUCGCUAGCCUUCGCCGUGUAAAGCCCCUUCGACGAGUCGAGUUGUUUGGGAAUGCAGCUCUAAAUGGGAGGUAAAUUUCUUCUAAAGCUAAAUACUGGCCAGAGACCGAUAGCGCACAAGUAGAGUGAUCGAAAGAUGAAAAGCACUUUGGAAAGAGAGUCAAAUAGCACGUGAAAUUGUUGAAAGGGAAGCGCUUGCAGCCAGACUUGCCUGUAGUUGCUUAUCUGGACUUUUGUCCGGUGCACUCUUCUGCGGGCAGGCCAGCAUCAGUUUGGGCGGUUGGAUAAAGGUCUCUGUCAUGUACCUCCUUUCGGGGAGGCCUUAUAGGGGAGACGACAUGCAACCAGCCUGGACUGAGGUCCGCGCAUCUGCUAGGAUGCUGGCGUAAUGGCUGUAAGCGGCCCGUCUUGAAACACGGACCAAGGAGUCUAACAUCUAUGCGAGUGUUUGGGUGUCAAGCCCAGACGCGUAAUGAAAGUGAACGGAGGUGGGAACCCUUUGGGUGCACCAUCGACCGAUCCUGAUGUCUUCGGAUGGAUUUGAGUAAGAGCAUGGCUGUUGGGACCCGAAAGAUGGUGAACUAUGCUUGAAUAGGGUGAAGCCAGAGGAAACUCUGGUGGAGGCUCGCAGCGGUUCUGACGUGCAAAUCGAUCGUCAAAUUUGGGCAUAGGGG